GAACAUCACCAGACUGUGUUUUGGACUCAUAAAGAAACUGCAAGAAGGAAGCGUACAGAGUAGGGCUGGGCGAUAUAUUGAUAUAAUAUCGAUAUCGUGAUAAAUGACUACGCGAUACACUUUUCAGAGAUAUCGUGAUGGCAUUAAAGCAAAGUAUCGUCGAACUCCGUUGAACAGUGAACACCGUCCUGCUGUCUUGCAGACAGUUUGUUAGAUAGGUUAUAUAUCGUGAUACGCAUCGUGUAUCCUAGAAAUGUCCUCAAGCAUGGCGAAAUGAUAUUUUUGUCACGUCACCCGGCCCGAGUACGGAGAGAAGAGGACAGACAGGAAAGAGAGAGUGGAUUGGGGUAAUAACGUUAAAUGACAGGACAGCAGGUCAGUUGUUA
Molecule: long non-coding RNA, 386 nt
Organism: Ictalurus punctatus (channel catfish)
Lineage: Eukaryota; Metazoa; Chordata; Actinopteri; Siluriformes; Ictaluridae
Source: Ensembl